RNAcentral lists this small RNA (117 nucleotides) under Macaca mulatta (Rhesus monkey). Its description in RNAcentral is "Metazoan signal recognition particle RNA (ENSMMUG00000057438.1)". The record is from Rfam by way of RNAcentral. Lineage: Eukaryota; Metazoa; Chordata; Mammalia; Primates; Cercopithecidae.
GCCGGGUGUGGUGGCUCACACCUGUGAUCCUAGCACUUUAGGAGGCAGAGGUGGGUGGAUCACCUGAGGUCAGGAGUUUGAGACCAGCCUGGCCAACAUGGUGAAACCCCAUCUCUA